Molecule: small RNA, 73 nt
Filed under: Brenneria goodwinii
Lineage: Bacteria; Pseudomonadati; Pseudomonadota; Gammaproteobacteria; Enterobacterales; Pectobacteriaceae
Description: FourU thermometer RNA element
Rfam family: FourU thermometer RNA element
About the family: FourU is a small thermoregulator element found upstream of the agsA gene in Salmonella species.
Source: Rfam by way of RNAcentral
GGACAAGCGAUGCUUGCCUGAUAGGUUGAGCUUUUGAAUGUAUCUAGCAUAUUCAGGAGGUUAAUUAUGGCAC